AUUGAACGCUGGCGGCAUGCCUUACACAUGCAAGUCGAACGGCAGCACGGGAGCAAUCCUGGUGGCGAGUGGCGAACGGGUGAGUAAAAUAUCGGAACGUGCCCAGUCGUGGGGGAUAACGUAGCGAAAGUUACGCUAAUACCGCAUACGAUCUACGGAUGAAAGCGGGGGAUCGCAAGACCUCGCGCGAUUGGAGCGGCUGAUAUCAGAUUAGGUAGUUGGUGGGGUAAAGGCUCACCAAGCCGACGAUCUGUAGCUGGUCUGAGAGGACGACCAGCCACACUGGGACUGAGACACGGCCCAGACUCCUACGGGAGGCAGCAGUGGGGAAUUUUGGACAAUGGGCGCAAGCCUGAUCCAGCCAUGCCGCGUGCAGGAUGAAGGCCUUCGGGUUGUAAACUGCUUUGUACGGAACGAAAAGGUUUGGCCUAAUAAGCUGGACCCAUGACGGUACCGUAAGAAUAAGCACCGGCUAACUACGUGCCAGCAGCCGCAGUAA
This 499-nucleotide ribosomal RNA is filed under the name uncultured bacterium. RNAcentral's name for it is "partial 16S ribosomal RNA". It matches the Rfam family "Bacterial small subunit ribosomal RNA", at positions 30 to 523 of the family's 1533-position model. The record is from RNAcentral.